CGAUCGACCACGGAUUCACGACAAAAUCCAAACUUUCUUUCCAAUAGAAGGAAUAACACAUAAAUACAUAUAAAACACGUAUUUUCGGAUUUUCUCGAAAUUCGUGCAUCAAACUCAAAAUCCGUCAGCGCCAGUAGUUCCAGAAUAGCUGAACCGAUCGAAACGAGCUAUUGGACUGAUAUGAACGGAGUCCGAUACGCACCAGAAGCCAACUCUACUCCGUGGCUUCUCCGAAAAACCGGAGUUACUAUUCACUUAAGUGAAAACUAAAAUCGCGUAUCUUCUCCAUUUUAGCUCAGUUUCUCCUGAAACUUGACGAGUGCUUAUGUAACUAGAUUACACACAUAAACAUC
This 353-nucleotide long non-coding RNA is filed under the name Ananas comosus (pineapple). RNAcentral's name for it is "long non-coding RNA (ACOM_LNC013544)". The record is from RNAcentral. Lineage: Eukaryota; Viridiplantae; Streptophyta; Magnoliopsida; Poales; Bromeliaceae.